RNAcentral lists this ribosomal RNA (495 nucleotides) under uncultured bacterium. RNAcentral describes it as "partial 16S ribosomal RNA". It matches the Rfam family "Bacterial small subunit ribosomal RNA", at positions 28 to 507 of the family's 1533-position model. The record is from RNAcentral.
GACGAACGCUGGCGGCGUGCCUAAUACAUGCAAGUAGAACGCUGAAGGAGGAGCUUGCUUCUCUGGAUGAGUUGCGAACGGGUGAGUAACGCGUAGGUAACCUGCCUGGUAGCGGGGGAUAACUAUUGGAAACGAUAGCUAAUACCGCAUAAGAGUAGAUGUUGCAUGACAUUUGCUUAAAAGGUGCAAUUGCAUCACUACCAGAUGGACCUGCGUUGUAUUAGCUAGUUGGUGGGGUAACGGCUCACCAAGGCGACGAUACAUAGCCGAACUGAGAGGGUGAGCAGCCACACUGGGACUGAGACACGGCCCAGUCUGCUACGGGAGGCAGCAGUAGGGAAUCUUCGGCAAUGGACGGAAGUCUGACCGGACAACGCCGCGUGAGUGAAGAAGGGUGUCGGAUCGUAAAGCUCUGUUGUCAGAGAAGAAAGGGUGUGAGAGUGGAAAGUUCACACUGUGACGGUAACUGACCAGAAAGGGACGGCUAACUACGUG